This 581-nucleotide long non-coding RNA is filed under the name Fukomys damarensis (Damara mole-rat). Its description in RNAcentral is "lncRNA (ENSFDAG00000022965.1)". Lineage: Eukaryota; Metazoa; Chordata; Mammalia; Rodentia; Bathyergidae. The record is from RNAcentral.
CCCCUUGCUAACAGGUUUCUAUGACAGCACCAUCCCCGCCUCGAAGCUGGGGCCAGGUGACAGUGGGGGGGCUCCCCUCGACUCAUAAACGCCUGAUUCAUAUGUAACCACUGCACUGUGCCCUCUUCUAAGGCCUCCCCUCUGCCACCCUCAGUACCGCUCACAGCCCUGAUCAUAAUGCCACAGGAACGGUAAACAAGAAUUAAGGCUUAAAAAAGCAAGGACCAAGCAAACCUAUGGACAUAGACAAGAAGGAACAGAAAAGCCCACAAGGAAGGGAAUCAUGUCCACUGCUGCCCACAGCUGUCUUCCAUAUCAUCGACCCAGCGGUCCUCCCAGUCCACACAAAGGUCCAACAGGUGAAGUGCAAGGAAGCCGUUCUCAGCCAGAAUCACAAACAGAGGCAGCAGUGCAUCAAUGCCAAGCCUAGGCCUCAACAGCUUUGCAUGUGUUCACUCUUUUGGAGCCUUGCCACCCGAGCUUGUGCCUCAACGAUGAUAGACAGGAAGGCAGACUGUCGAGCUUUCCGGAAGAGGCCAUCCUGAACCACCAGCCAGGUGAGUAAAUCACCCGGCUGCCCC